Molecule: long non-coding RNA, 3023 nt
Organism: Fundulus heteroclitus (mummichog)
Lineage: Eukaryota; Metazoa; Chordata; Actinopteri; Cyprinodontiformes; Fundulidae
Exons: 10
Source: RefSeq, a predicted model, not a curated record
AGGCGUAGGAAACUCUGACUAGCAGGCGUAGGAAACUCUGGCUAGCAGGCGUGGGAAGCUCCCACCUUUGCACACAGCAAUUUUCAUUUAUUUGUAACAAAUGUUUUACAUCAUGUAGGAUAUUCCUUCUACUUCACAAUUGUAUAUGUUAUGUUGGACUUUCACAUAAGAUUCAAAUAAAAUAUUAUUUUAUGUUGUUGGAUGUAAUGUGACUAAAUUUGGGAAAGUUCAGAAAAGGGCCACAGGAGGCACGGUCUGAGUUCAUCAGAGUGCAUUUAGAAGCAGAACAACACCCUGGUUGUAAUCCUGUCAUCCUCAGAUACAGAAAGGAGCUGCAGCACAAAUGAAAAGUCUCAGGGUGGGGAGGCUAGUGUCCAGUUCAGGGCUUCGCCUGUUCCUGACAGUCCUGUAUCUGCUCACAAUGAGCUGCAGCUCCAAGUGUGACAGUCGAAGUGUCAGUCCAACCAUUCUCCACCACAGAAGAAGUUAUCAAUUGCACUGUUGAACUAGAGUCAUCAACUCUAAAGAGAACCAGGGAAGCACCAAAUACUGAACCUGGACACAAGGAGGAUUCCUCCAUGCUAUCUUCUCCAGCUUCUAGACAACCUGACACGGAUAAAAGGAGGAAAAUAGCGUUUUGGCUUUUCCUGCUGCAACUGAUUUAUGAUAAGGUUACUCAACCUGGGGAUGACAUGCUACAUCAACUCCAUCCUCCAAAGCGUCCUUACUGACCCUGAGCUGCUCUCACCCAAGAUCCCAGCUCUUCAGAUGGUUUCUAGAUAUUGAAGUCAGUCGCUACUCCAACAUCAGAGAGGAGAAUAAGUCGCUUCUAUUUUCUUUUUAAAUGGACCGUCGCUGAAUAUAAUUCAGAUUUUGACGAUGACGAGCAGAAGGAUGCCCAUGAGUUCCUCAUCUGUGUUCUGGACAAAAUGAGGUCUGUGUCAUCAGAAGUUGAGCUGACAGCUGUAAACUCUGGCCUGACCUACACGUGCCCAGUCCAGGAACACAUUUCAGUUCAGAUGCUGAACAUCAGGACCUGCAGGGGAUGUGGUGAGCAGUCCUAUAGAAUGGAGGACUUUGUUAACCUCACUCUGGAGCUGGUACCAGGGGGAUCGGUGAGCCAGUGUCUGCAGGAGUAUUUCAAGGGGGACCAGAUAGAUUACACGUGCCACUGUGGAGCGCAGCAGUCAUCCCUGCAGAGCUCUUUCUCCACCCUGCCAAAAAUACGACAGGUCGUUAUUCUGGUGAGCAAAUGUUUGCCCUUUGCUCUCAGGUCAUCACAUCUGUGAGAGUAUCCAAAGAGGGCUGGAUAUGGGGGAUUCAGCAAACUCUUGGCUAACAGAUGAUGAUGAACAUGUCAGCCAAACAACAGGAGAAGAUGUCUGCUGCCGUAGACCAAGAAACGCUUUCCUAGUCUUCUAUGAAAACCAGGGUGCUCCUCUCGACUUACGCGGCAGAGAAGGUCGAACAACGGCUUCCUUGGACCCACGCGUCUCACUGCAGGAAGGUGCCGCCACCGCCAGGGGCCGACAAAUCGCAGGACAAGAAAGAUCACACGCCAGGAUCGUCGCCAUCCACCUGAGCCACCGAGCUAGCUGUGAGGACAGCGGCCCACCACAAGUUGUUUUUUUGCAGGAAGAGGUGGGUGAAGAGCACUGCUCCGACGGAAUCACAAUAACAUUCCGGGCAGUGAUUUGAGUUGCUUGUCUCCAGUGAGAGAGACAACAGAGUUUGAAACAGCUGAUCUGUGGAGCACAAUAAGAAUCAGCCUGUUUGCUCAUUGCUUAUGCUCCCUUCAUGUCAGAAAACUGACUGAUUAAAAAAAGAAAAAGGGGAGAGAAGAGGAGGCAAGAGGAAGACGAAGCAUUUAUUCAUUUAAUCCCUUAAUCCCUUUGGUUAGACGACUGUUAACCUCCGCAGUAUCUGGUAGCUUCUUUACGGGUCAAACGAAUACAGAGACUGGUGUUUUCCCGAGGAAACAUGCCCAAAGAUGUUGAAAUUCCUGAUCCGAGUGACGAUGAUGAUUGUGAUGUUAAUGACACAACCUGUUGACAUGGAUUUCCUUUUUCCUUCUUCGUGACUGAUCCUUGUAAUGCUUUUAAAAAUGUUCCUGUAGGUUUGAUGAUAUUGAUUUUUUUGAUUAUAUUGAUUUGUUUGAUUUGCCAUUUUACAGUAGUAUUGUCAGAUUGUUGUUUUUUCCCCCCGUUACGUUUUCUUUUUUAUUAUCAAUUUAGAUUUAUGCAUGAAUUAAAAUGUUUAGUUGUAUUAGUUUAGUUUUGCUUAAGCAAUGUUUUAAUUGAUAUUUGGAGUUUCAAAUGUUUUUCCUGACAUGAUUCUUUUUUGUUCUCACUGCUUGAUGAAAGAACUGGAGUUUUCUCAUACCAAAGAUCACUGAUUUAUGCAAUUUUUUUUUUAUUACAGAAGGACAGACCUGGGAUCUGAUUGGCUCUAUAGAUCCUUUAAUAUUAGCUGGUAAUGGUAACUCCUAGAUUCAACACAGGGUUUUCUGGCUCAGAUUGGCCGAGAGCAGAUCUCCCUGGGGGUCUCACCAGUUUUUACUACUCUUGUGGGUAGAGUUUUCUGGUAGUUUCCCCGCCCACACUGAACCUCUCCUGCUUUUGCUCCUGGUUUGGUAAGUUUGAGGAUGGUGGAUGGUUAUCCAUCGAAGUGGUGAGUGGAGGAUCAAGUAGGAGGGUUUUCAGGGUGGGGAGAGGGUAGACGGAUUCGACCUUAAUUAGUAUACAGGCUUAGCUUAAGUAGUCUAAUAUACUAAAAUAAUCUGUGCAUAGGGACCUAAAACAGGCCUUACUUAAUUAGUUGAACCCUAAAUUGUAUGCGAAUGCUAAACCUUUGAUCUUGUGUGUUAAAACUCCAUGAAGCAUUCAAGCUGAUCUUUAUUAAAAGUUCCAGCACACAUGAUUUGUAACUGUUAUGAGUCCUUGGUGUUGUAUUUGCAUAUUCCUGUAAUGAGUUAUCUUGUUUUUCAAUAAAUACUGUUUGUCAAUAAAAGUGCUGGAACUUCA